This 441-nucleotide ribosomal RNA is filed under the name uncultured bacterium. RNAcentral's name for it is "partial 16S ribosomal RNA". It matches the Rfam family "Bacterial small subunit ribosomal RNA", at positions 338 to 795 of the family's 1533-position model. The record is from RNAcentral.
GCUACGGGUGGCUGCAGUGGGGAAUAUUGCACAAUGGGGGAAACCCUGAUGCAGCGACGCCGCGUGCGUGAAGAAGUAUUUAGGUAUGUAAAGCUCUAUUAGCAGGGAAGAAAAUGAAGGUACCUGACUAAGAAGCACAGGGUAACUACGUGCAAGCUGCCGCGGUAAAAUGCAGGGGGCAAGCGUUAUCCGGAUUUACUGGGUGUAAAGGGAGCGUAGGUGGCAUGGAAAGCCAGAAGGUGAAACCCGGGGCUUAACCGCGCGGAUUGCUUUUGAAACUAUCAGGCUGGAGGGCUGGAGGGGUAAGCGGAAUGCCUAGUGUAGCGGUGAAAUGCGUAGAUAUUAGGAGGAACACCGGUGGCGAAGGCAGCUUACUGGACAGAAACUGACACUGAGGCUCGAAAGCGUGGGGAGCAAACAGGAUUAGAUACCCCUGUAGUC